This 477-nucleotide ribosomal RNA is filed under the name uncultured organism. Its description in RNAcentral is "partial 16S ribosomal RNA". It matches the Rfam family "Bacterial small subunit ribosomal RNA", at positions 332 to 800 of the family's 1533-position model. The record is from RNAcentral.
UACACUCCUACGGGAGGCAGCAGUGGGGAAUUUUGGACAAUGGGCGAAAGCCUGAUCCAGCAAUGCCGCGUGAGUGAAGAAGGCCUUCGGGUUGUAAAGCUCUUUUGUCAGGGAAGAAACGGUGAAAGCUAAUAUCUUUUGCUAAUGACGGUACCUGAAGAAUAAGCACCGGCUAACUACGUGCCAGCAGCCGCGGUAAUACGUAGGGUGCAAGCGUUAAUCGGAAUUACUGGGCGUAAAGCGUGCGCAGGCGGUUUUGUAAGUCUGAUGUGAAAUCCCCGGGCUCAACCUGGGAAUUGCAUUGGAGACUGCAAGGCUAGAAUCUGGCAGAGGGGGGUAGAAUUCCACGUGUAGCAGUGAAAUGCGUAGAUAUGUGGAGGAACACCGAUGGCGAAGGCAGCCCCCUGGGUCAAGAUUGACGCUCAUGCACGAAAGCGUGGGGAGCAAACAGGAUUAGAAACCCUUGUAGUCCCAUGA